RNAcentral lists this ribosomal RNA (460 nucleotides) under uncultured bacterium. Its description in RNAcentral is "partial 16S ribosomal RNA". It matches the Rfam family "Bacterial small subunit ribosomal RNA", at positions 338 to 795 of the family's 1533-position model. The record is from RNAcentral.
CCUACGGGAGGCAGCAGUGAGGAAUAUUGGUCAAUGGGCGCGAGCCUGAACCAGCCAAGUAGCGUGAAGGAUGACUGCCCUACGGGUUGUAAACUUCUUUUAUACAGGAAUAAAGUGAGGCACGUGUGCCUUUUUGUAUGUACUUUAUGAAUAAGGAUCGGCUAACUCCGUGCCAGCAGCCGCGGUAAUACGGAGGAUCCGAGCGUUAUCCGGAUUUAUUGGGUUUAAAGGGAGCGUAGAUGGGCUUUUAAGUCAGUUGUGAAAGUUUGCGGCUCAACCGUGAAAUUGCAAUUGAUACUGGCAGCCUUGAGUACAGUUGAGGUAGGCGGAAUUCGUGGUGUAGCGGUGAAAUGCUUAGAUAUCACGAAGAACUCCGGUUGCGAAGGCAGCUUACUAAACUGCAACUGACAUUGAUGCUCGAAAGUGUGGGUAUCAAACAGGAUUAGAUACCCCAGUAGUC